Molecule: ribosomal RNA, 460 nt
Filed under: uncultured bacterium
Lineage: Bacteria
Description: partial 16S ribosomal RNA
Rfam family: Bacterial small subunit ribosomal RNA
Source: RNAcentral
CCUACGGGCGGCUGCAGUGAGGAAUAUUGGUCAAUGGCCGGAAGGCUGAACCAGCCAUGCCGCGUGAAGGUCAGUGCCCUAUGGGCGUUAAACUUCUUUUGUGCGGGAGCAAUAAUGGUCACGUGUGGCCAGACGAGAGUACCGUACGAAUAAGCAUCGGCUAACUCCGUGCCAGCAGCCGCGGUAAUACGGGGGAUGCAAGCGUUAUCCGGAGUUAUUGGGUUUAAAGGGUGCGUAGGCUGUGAGGUAAGUCAGCGGGGAAAUGCCCCCGCUCAACGGGGUGAAGUGCCAUUGAUACUGCCUUGCUGGAAUGCGGAUGCCGUGGGAGGAAUGUGUGGUGUAGCGGUGAAAUGCAUAGAUAUCACACAGAACACCGAUUGCGAAGGCAUCUCACGAAUCCGCGAUUGACGCUGAUGCACGAAAGCGUGGGUAUCAAACAGGAUUAGAUACCCGAGUAGUC